RNAcentral lists this unclassified non-coding RNA (206 nucleotides) under Hevea brasiliensis (rubber tree). Lineage: Eukaryota; Viridiplantae; Streptophyta; Magnoliopsida; Malpighiales; Euphorbiaceae. The record is from RNAcentral.
AUUCAACAGCAAAAAACUUUAGAAUCCUUACUUCUACCACCAGACUAAUAUAUGCCCCAUGCUCCCUAAAACACUGAGCUAACUAAUAGGAUUAAGCAUUAAGUAGUUGCUGACGGACUGCUUUCCCUUUCUUCCCAACCAAAAGACCAAAGUCAAACAGACUUCAUGCUCAAGGUUCAACCUUUUCCUCGCACUUCUAAUUUGAA